RNAcentral lists this unclassified non-coding RNA (241 nucleotides) under Cladosporium flabelliforme. RNAcentral describes it as "partial contains 5.8S ribosomal RNA, internal transcribed spacer 2, and large subunit ribosomal RNA". The record is from RNAcentral. Lineage: Eukaryota; Fungi; Ascomycota; Dothideomycetes; Cladosporiales; Cladosporiaceae.
CGCACAUUGCGCCCCCUGGUAUUCCGGGGGGCAUGCCUGUUCGAGCGUCAUUUCACCACUCAAGCCUCGCUUGGUAUUGGGCACCGCGGUCCGCCGCGCGCCUCAAAUCGACCGGCUGGGUCUUUCGUCCCCUAAGCGUUGUGGAAACUAUUCGCUAAAGGAGGCUCAGGAGGCUACGCCGUAAAACAACCCCAUUUCUAAGGUUGACCUCGGAUCAGGUAGGGAUACCCGCUGAACUUAA